RNAcentral lists this long non-coding RNA (730 nucleotides) under Homo sapiens (human). Its description in RNAcentral is "non-protein coding lnc-CGAS-1:1". The record is from RNAcentral. Lineage: Eukaryota; Metazoa; Chordata; Mammalia; Primates; Hominidae.
AUGAAGCUGAAUGUCUCCUUCCCAGCCUCUGGCUGCCAGAAUCUCUUUGAAGUGGAUGAGGAUUGCAAAUGUCAUACUUUUUCUGAGAAGCUAUAGUCACAGAUGUUGAUGCUGAUGCUCUAGGUGAAGAAUAGAAGGGUUAUGUGGUCGGAAUCAGUGGUGGGGACAACAGACGAGGCUUCCUCAUGAAGCAGGGUAUUUUGACCCAAGACUGUGUCUGCCUGCUACUGAGUAAGGGGUAUUCCUCUCCUCCAAGGAGAACUGAAGAAAGAAUGCACAAAUCUGUUCAAGGUUGUAUUGUGGAUGCCAAUCUGAGUAUUCUCAACUCAGUUAUUGUUAGAGAGAGAAGGCUAAUCCUGAACUGCCUGAUAAUAUACUGCCUCAUCCCCCGGGACCCAAAAGAGCUAGCAGAAUCCAAAAACUUCAAUUUCUCUAAAAAGAUGAUGUCCACCAAUAUGUUAUAAGAAAGCUCUUUGUUAUAACAAAGAUAAGACACACAGGGCCAAAGCACCCAAGACUCAGUGUGUUGUUACUCCUCAUGUCCCGCAACACAAACACCUGGCUUAUUGCUCUGAAGAAACAACCUACUAAAAAAAAUAAGGAAGAGGCCACAGAAUAUACUAAACUUUUGGACAAGAGAAUAAAGGAAGCCAAAGAAAAACACCAGGAACAAAUUGCCAAGAGACACAGACUGUCCUCUCUGAGAGCUUCUGAGUCCAGCCAAAAAUAA